Molecule: ribosomal RNA, 484 nt
Filed under: uncultured bacterium
Lineage: Bacteria
Description: partial 16S ribosomal RNA
Rfam family: Bacterial small subunit ribosomal RNA
Source: RNAcentral
AUUGAACGCUGGCGGCAGGCCUAACACAUGCAAGUCGAGCGGAUGAAGGGAGCUUGCUCCUGGAUUCAGCGGCGGACGGGCGAGUAAUGCCUAGGAAUCUGCCUGGUCGUGGGGGAUAACGUCCGGAAACGGGCGCUAAUACCGCAUACGUCCUGAGGUAGAACGUGGUGGAUCUUCGGACCUCACGCUACCAGAUGAGCCUAGGUCGGAUUAGCUAGUUGGUGGGGUAAAGGCCUACCAAGGCGACGAUCCGUAACUGGUCUGAGAGGAUGAUCAGUCACACUGGAACUGAGACACGGUCCAGACUCCUACGGGAGGCAGCAGUAGGGAAUAUUGGGCAAAGGGCGAAAGCCUGAUCCAGCCAUGCCGCGUGUGUGAAGAAGGUCUUCGGAUUGUAAAACACUGUUAGUUGGGAGGAAGAGCAGUAAGUGAAUACCUUGCUGUUUUGACGUUACCAACAGAAUAAGCACCGGCUAACUUCGUG